CCCACGCCUGACCUCAGCGGUGACUUCGACGUCGACCAGCCUCCCAUCGCGCAAACGCCCCAUGCCUCCCCCGCCUGCUCAGUGCCCAGGAGCUCGGCCGAUGAUGCCACAAACGCCGACAAGUAUAGCGCGCCAUGCGCCGCGGCCGUGCCCUUGAUCUCCUCGAUCUUGUCGCGCGUUAGCACGAAGGACGCGAUCAGCAGAGACGGAGGUGGAGGCCCCUUCGCUGUCACUACGCCGACGCCUCGAAGAUCGGCAUGGUGUUGGCCGGCUUUAGGUCGGCGCAGGAGAUCCUAUCGGCGGCAAGCGGCGCGCGCGCCGGUAACAUAGCAGCCUGGUCCGAGUAGUGGCGUAGGCGGGUGAGCGCGUUCUUGUGAGGAGUGGAUCGCUGAAGAACAACCUGCUCCGUUCUUCAAUCGCGUCCUGGUAAAGGAAUCGAUCGCCGGAGAACGAAGUGCUCUAUUCUUCAAUCUUGUACCCAAUUCUGAAGUUUGAUUUCUGCAAUCUUGUACGUAAUUCUGAAGUUUGCUUUUCUCCUGCAAUCUUCCCCAUGAAUCGCUCACUGGAAUUGAUGGAAUCGGGAACAUCAUAUUGCUUUCAAGUUGAUCAACCUCUGCCCUUUAUUCAUGGAAGAAGCAGCCGAGUGAGGACGACCUGCUCUCUUCUCUAUCUGAGGUAUAUUUUUCCGGUUUGGUACCUCAUGUUGGCAUGGAAUUUAAAAAUUCAGAUGAAGCUUGGGCAUUUUGGGGUCAGGAAAAGGUGCACGAACAAGAGAUCCGCCGAUGGCAAGGUUACUUCAUGCCAAUUUAUUUGUGCAAGGAAAUGCAAUGCUUAAUCUCUUUUGCCAAACAAAAUUCAGUUAUCCUUAUCAAGUCUGAAAUGUA
Molecule: long non-coding RNA, 884 nt
Organism: Triticum dicoccoides
Lineage: Eukaryota; Viridiplantae; Streptophyta; Magnoliopsida; Poales; Poaceae
Exons: 2
Source: RefSeq, a predicted model, not a curated record